This 442-nucleotide ribosomal RNA is filed under the name uncultured marine eukaryote. RNAcentral's name for it is "SSU rRNA". It matches the Rfam family "Eukaryotic small subunit ribosomal RNA", at positions 609 to 1057 of the family's 1831-position model. The record is from RNAcentral.
AUUGUUGCGGUUAAAACGCUCGUAAUUGGAUAUCUGCUAAGGGGUUCCGGUCCUUCCCAGUGAAGAAUACGCGGAACUCUUCUUGGCAUUUAUUCAGGGAAGGUGUUUGCACUUUGUUGUGUGUCACAUGAUCUGAAUUUUUACUUUGAGGAAAUGAGAGUGUUUCAAGCAGGCUUUUGCCGUGAAUAUGAUAGCAUGGAAUAAUAGCACAGGACCCCUUUCCAAAGCUGUUGGUUUUUGGAACGAGGUAAUCAGAAUAAGGAUAGUUGGGGGUAUUCGUAUUUAACUGUCAGAGGUGAAAUUCUUGGAUUUUUUAAAGACAAACUAUUGCGAAGGCAUCUGCCCAGGAUGUUUUUAUUGAUCAAGAACGAAAGUUAGGGGAUCGAAGACGAUCAGAUACCGUCCUAGUCUUAACCUUAAACUAUGCCGGCUGGAGAUUGGA